Small nucleolar RNA from Cebus imitator (Panamanian white-faced capuchin), 135 nucleotides. Its record names the gene SNORA70. It matches the Rfam family "Small nucleolar RNA SNORA70". From Rfam's summary of the family: snoRNA U70 seems to be exclusive to mammals and is a member of the H/ACA class of snoRNA which contain H (ANANNA) and ACA box motifs. H/ACA box snoRNAs are involved in the conversion of uridines to pseudouridines (5-ribosyluracil) a constituent of structural RNAs (transfer, ribosomal, small nuclear, and small nucleolar). The record is from Ensembl. NCBI's taxonomy places the organism in Eukaryota, Metazoa, Chordata, Mammalia, Primates, Cebidae.
CUGCAGCCAGUUAAACUGACUGAGUUCCUUUCCUCAUUGGGGCCCAGUGUGCAGUGGCUACAAACAGCAGCUGCCUUGGUAGUGUACUCAGCCUGUUUCUUACAUGGUUUGCUCUAAGGGACCUUGGAGACAGGC